This 650-nucleotide ribosomal RNA is filed under the name uncultured bacterium. RNAcentral describes it as "bacterial SSU rRNA". It matches the Rfam family "Bacterial small subunit ribosomal RNA", at positions 222 to 863 of the family's 1533-position model. The record is from RNAcentral.
AGGAGGAGCUUGCGUCCCAUUAGCUUGUUGGCGGGGUAAUGGCCCACCAAGGCAAUGAUGGGUAGCCGGCCUGAGAGGGUGUACGGCCACACUGGCACUGAGAUACGGGCCAGACUCCUACGGGAGGCAGCAGUGGGGAAUAUUGGGCAAUGGGCGAAAGCCUGACCCAGCAAUGCCGUGUGAGCGAUGAAGUUCUUCGGAAUGUAAAGCUCUUUUAUGAGGAAAGAAAGCUUGCGGGGUAAUAUCCUGCCUGCUUGACGGUACCUCAUGAAUAAGCCCCGGCUAACUCCGUGCCAGCAGCCGCGGUAAUACGGAGGGGGCGAGCGUUGUUCGGAAUCACUGGGCGUAAAGGGCGCGUAGGCGGUCAUGUAUGUCAGGUGUGAAAUCCCUAGGCUUAACUUAGGAAUUGCGCUUGAAACUGCAUGGCUAGAGGCUGGGAGAGGAAAGUGGAAUUCCUGGUGUAGCGGUGAAAUGCGUAGAUAUCAGGAGGAACACCGGUGGCGAAAGCGGCUUUCUGGACCAGUUCUGACGCUGAGGCGCGAAAGCGUGGGGAGCAAACGGGAUUAGAUACCCCGGUAGUCCACGCUGUAAACGAUGAGCACUAGGUGUAGCGGGUAUCGACCCCUGCUGUGCCGCAGUUAACGCAUUAA